RNAcentral lists this ribosomal RNA (440 nucleotides) under uncultured bacterium. RNAcentral's name for it is "partial 16S ribosomal RNA". It matches the Rfam family "Bacterial small subunit ribosomal RNA", at positions 338 to 795 of the family's 1533-position model. The record is from RNAcentral.
CCUACGGGUGUCAGCAGUGGGGAAUAUUGGGCAAUGGGGGAAACCCUGAUCCAGCGACGCCGCGUGAGUGAAGAAGUAUUUCGGUACGUAAAGCUCUAUCAUCAGGAACGAAAAUUACUGUACCUGGCUAAGAAGCCCUGGCUAAAUACGUGCCAGCAGCCGCGGUCAUACGUAGGGGGCCAGCGUUAUCCGGAUUUACUGGGUGGAAGGGGAGCGUAGACGGUAGUGCAAGUCUGGAGUGAAAUGCCGGGGCCCAACCCCGGAACUGCUCUGGAAACUGUGAAGCUGGAGUGCAGGAGAGGUAAGCGGAAUUCCCGGUGUAGCGGUGAAAUGCGUAGAUAUUAGGAGGAACACCGGCGGCGAAGGCGGCCUACUGGACUGUAACUGACGCUGAGGCUCGAAGGCGUGGGGAGCAAACAGGAUUAGAUACCCGAGUAGUC